GGUUAAGCGACUAAGCGUACACGGUGGAUGCCCUGGCAGUCAGAGGCGAUGAAGGACGUGCUAAUCUGCGAAAAGCGUCGGUAAGGUGAUAUGAACCGUUAUAACCGGCGAUGUCCGAAUGGGGAAACCCAGUGCAAUUCGUUGCACUAUCGUUAACUGAAUACAUAGGUUAACGAGGCGAACCGGGGGAACUGAAACAUCUAAGUACCCCGAGGAAAAGAAAUCAACCGAGAUUCCCCCAGUAGCGGCGAGCGAACGGGGAGCAGCCCAGAGUCUGAAUCAGCUUGUGUGUUAGUGGAACGGUCUGGAAAGUCCGACGGUACAGGGUGAUAGUCCCGUACACCAAAAUGCACAGGUUGUGAACUCGAAGAGUAGGGCGGGACACGUGGUAUCCUGUCUGAAUAUGGGGGGACCAUCCUCCAAGGCUAAAUACUCCUGACUGACCGAUAGUGAACCAGUACCGUGAGGGAAAGGCGAAAAGAACCCCGGCGAGGGGAGUGAAAAAGAACCUGAAACCGUGUACGUACAAGCAGUGGGAGCACCUUCGGGUGUGACUGCGUACCUUUUGUAUAAUGGGUCAGCGACUUAUAUUCUGUAGCAAGGUUAACCGUAUAGGGGAGCCGCAGGGAAACCGAGUCUUAACUGGGCGUUAAGUUGCAGGGUAUAGACCCGAAACCCGGUGAUCUAGCCAUGGGCAGGUUGAAGGUUGGGUAACACUAACUGGAGGACCGAACCGACUAAUGUUGAAAAAUUAGCGGAUGACUUGUGGCUGGGGGUGAAAGGCCAAUCAAACCGGGAGAUAGCUGGUUCUCCCCGAAAGCUAUUUAGGUAGCGCCUCGUGAACUCAUCUUCGGGGGUAGAGCACUGUUUCGGCUAGGGGGUCAUCCCGACUUACCAACCCGAUGCAAACUACGAAUACCGAAGAAUGUUAUCACGGGAGACACACGGCGGGUGCUAACGUCCGUCGUGAAGAGGGAAACAACCCAGACCGCCAGCUAAGGUCCCAAAGUCAUGGUUAAGUGGGAAACGAUGUGGGAAGGCACAGACAGCCAGGAUGUUGGCUUAGAAGCAGCCAUCAUUUAAAGAAAGCGUAAUAGCUCACUGGUCGAGUCGGCCUGCGCGGAAGAUGUAACGGGGCUAAACCAUGCACCGAAGCUGCGGCAGCGACACUAUGUGUUGUUGGGUAGGGGAGCGUUCUGUAAGCCUGCGAAGGUGACCUGUGAGGGUUGCUGGAGGUAUCAGAAGUGCGAAUGCUGACAUAAGUAACGAUAAAGCGGGUGAAAAGCCCGCUCGCCGGAAGACCAAGGGUUCCUGUCCAACGUUAAUCGGGGCAGGGUGAGUCGACCCCUAAGGCGAGGCCGAAAGGCGUAGUCGAUGGGAAACAGGUUAAUAUUCCUGUACUUGGUGUUACUGCGAAGGGGGGACGGAGAAGGCUAUGUUAGCCGGGCGACGGUUGUCCCGGUUUAAGCAUGUAGGCUGAUUGUCCAGGCAAAUCCGGAUAAUCAAGGCUGAGGUGUGAUGACGAGGCACUACGGUGCUGAAGUAACAAAUGCCCUGCUUCCAGGAAAAGCCUCUAAGCAUCAGGUAACAUUAAAUCGUACCCCAAACCGACACAGGUGGUCAGGUAGAGAAUACCAAGGCGCUUGAGAGAACUCGGGUGAAGGAACUAGGCAAAAUGGUGCCGUAACUUCGGGAGAAGGCACGCUGGUGUGUAGGUGAAGUCCCUGCGGAUGGAGCUGAGACCAGUCGAAGAUACCAGCUGGCUGCAACUGUUUAUUAAAAACACAGCACUGUGCAAACACGAAAGUGGACGUAUACGGUGUGACGCCUGCCCGGUGCCGGAAGGUUAAUUGAUGGGGUUAUCCGUAAGGAGAAGCUCUUGAUCGAAGCCCCGGUAAACGGCGGCCGUAACUAUAACGGUCCUAAGGUAGCGAAAUUCCUUGUCGGGUAAGUUCCGACCUGCACGAAUGGCGUAAUGAUGGCCAGGCUGUCUCCACCCGAGACUCAGUGAAAUUGAACUCGCUGUGAAGAUGCAGUGUACCCGCGGCAAGACGGAAAGACCCCGUGAACCUUUACUAUAGCUUGACACUGAACAUUGAGCCUUGAUGUGUAGGAUAGGUGGGAGGCUUUGAAGCGUGGACGCCAGUCUGCGUGGAGCCAACCUUGAAAUACCACCCUUUAAUGUUUGAUGUUCUAACGUUGGCCCCUGACCGGGGUUGCGGACAGUGUCUGGUGGGUAGUUUGACUGGGGCGGUCUCCUCCCAAAGCGUAACGGAGGAGCACGAAGGUUAGCUAAUCCUGGUCGGACAUCAGGAGGUUAGUGCAAUGGCAUAAGCUAGCUUGACUGCGAGCGUGACGGCGCGAGCAGGUGCGAAAGCAGGUCAUAGUGAUCCGGUGGUUCUGAAUGGAAGGGCCAUCGCUCAACGGAUAAAAGGUACUCCGGGGAUAACAGGCUGAUACCGCCCAAGAGUUCAUAUCGACGGCGGUGUUUGGCACCUCGAUGUCGGCUCAUCACAUCCUGGGGCUGAAGUAGGUCCCAAGGGUAUGGCUGUUCGCCAUUUAAAGUGGUACGCGAGCUGGGUUUAGAACGUCGUGAGACAGUUCGGUCCCUAUCUGCCGUGGGCGCUGGAGAAUUGAGGGGGGCUGCUCCUAGUACGAGAGGACCGGAGUGGACGCAUCACUGGUGUUCGGGUUGUCAUGCCAAUGGCACUGCCCGGUAGCUAAAUGCGGAAGAGAUAAGUGCUGAAAGCAUCUAAGCACGAAACUUGCCCCGAGAUGAGUUCUCCCUGAGACU
Molecule: ribosomal RNA, 2794 nt
Filed under: Klebsiella pneumoniae
Lineage: Bacteria; Pseudomonadati; Pseudomonadota; Gammaproteobacteria; Enterobacterales; Enterobacteriaceae
Also listed under: 1 other name
Description: partial 23S ribosomal RNA
Rfam family: Bacterial large subunit ribosomal RNA
Source: RNAcentral